CAGGACCUCCAGAUCCAUGUCUGGACUUCCCUUUCUCUCUUGGUCGAAUUUUGGACCCUCAACUUGGCACGUCGCACAAUAGUGAACUUCCAUCCCGUACCUGUCUCAGCCAUCACCGAUGUCUUAGAAGAGAACAAGACUACAUUCUUUGUGUUAUGAGAUCAAUCAACCCAGUGUUUCAAAGGACACCAAGCUCUCCUCCAACACCAAGCAGUGGGGUGAACGUUCUCCUGCUUCCAUGCCACACAUGCCACCUGCCACCCUCAGGAGCAGAGGAGACCAUGAAUCUGAAACAUCCUGACAUCUCCCAGCGUUGUCCCCACUGCGCUCACCACCGUUGUUCUUGUUAGACCGGCGCACAAGGGUGGACAGUGUCUCCUCUCAAAGGCAUGUCCUUCCUGGAACCUCAGAAUAUGGCGCCUGGGUGGCUCAGUUGGCUCCAGGGACCCGUGGGACUGCGUGGUGGGCUCUAAGAAGCAUUCACCAGGAAGGACGGCUCGGGGAUUCAUCGGGCAGAGGGCAGAGCAUGGGCAACGGCUCAGAGGAUGUCCUGAGCAGGAGCAGGUGUUCUGAGGAGAGAUGAGGCCAGAGGACACUUCUGGAAGGCUUCACGAGCAUGCUAUGUAAGCUUUCCUGCGGGCCGGCAUUUCCCAAAAUACGCAGCCAGAGUCCCACGAGAUGCUUUGAAAUAAACAAUCCUGUGGCAUAA
Suricata suricatta (meerkat) is the source of this 709-nucleotide long non-coding RNA. RefSeq lists it as uncharacterized. NCBI's taxonomy places the organism in Eukaryota, Metazoa, Chordata, Mammalia, Carnivora, Herpestidae. The record is from RefSeq and is a predicted model, not a curated record. The transcript has 3 exons.